AGCAGUCGCCACGGGAAUACGUAGGUGGCAAGCGUUGUCCGGAAUUAUUGGGCGUAAAGCGCGCGCAGGCGGUUUCUUAAGUCUGAUGUGGAAGCCCCCGGCUUAACCGGGGAGGGUCAUUGGAAACUGGGAGACUUAGAGUGCAGAAGAGGAGAGUGGAAUUCCAUGUGUAGCGGUGAAAUGCGUUGAGAUCGGAAAGAACACCAACGGCGAAAGCACUCUGCUGGGCCGACACUGACACUGAGAGACGAGAGCUAGGGGAGCAAAUGGGAUUAGAUACCCCAGUAGUCCCUGUCUCUUAUU
RNAcentral lists this ribosomal RNA (303 nucleotides) under uncultured bacterium. RNAcentral describes it as "partial 16S ribosomal RNA". It matches the Rfam family "Bacterial small subunit ribosomal RNA", at positions 507 to 808 of the family's 1533-position model. The record is from RNAcentral.